AUGUUAGAUGAAUUAUUGAUUGGGUAGCUGAUAAAAGAGUUUCUUCUUUGCACAUAAUAAGCGUGUGAGGCAUUUGCUACACUUUCAAUGAUAUAACAGAUAGUUACGUGCAGGUGCUCGCCAGUCAACGUGAACAAUCUGUUCGAUGACAGUAAACCGAGGUUUCAUGUGCUCUUGGACAAAAACCUACAGUUUUCGUUGAAAAUACCAAUCAAGCUGGAAGAUUCUUUCACUGAAAGAUAGCUCAAACGUCUUAUGGCCGUUCCCAAUAUACUAUCUACAGAUAGAGAUAAAUUACUACCUUCUACUGUCAGUAAUUAGCUGUCCCAAUAUACCCGAUAAGUCAUUCUGAUCGCCUUAUAUUUGGACGCGUGAAUUGAAAUUUCCAUACAAACUUCUAUCGCUGGUAAGCUAUAGGUACAUCGUCCCAUUGACGGACAGCGUGUACGGAUAAGGUGAGUUACCGACGAUAAGUUUAUUGGGACAGAAAAGGUCACGGUAGUUAAUAUUUUUUAUCUCAAGUAAGAGAUAGACUGAAUAUUGGGAACGGCCGCUAAUGAAUUUAACAUAAUAAUGAACUAUGUUCACAUGCAAAAACUUAAAUAAUAAUUUUGCGAGCAGAUACGAUUCAAUAUCCUCAUUGAAUUCAUAAAAAAAAUAUAUCUUAAAAUGCAUUUAUUAUAUUUUACAGUUUCCAAUGACCAAAGUUGUAUUGCUAGCUGUUAUAUGUGACUCGUGUUUUGGAAUAGAAUAUUAUAAAGUCAAUGAACAAUAUGAUAUAGACGAAUUGAUAAGAAAUAAAGCCAAGUUCGACGCCAAAACCGAAUGUUUUUUGGAUAUUGGACCGUGCAACGAUGAAUUUCUGAGUUAUAAAGCUAUAUUACAAAGUUCAAUAGAAGAAGCAUGUGAAAGGUGCACCCCUGGAGUGAAGCGUUUGGCUAAUGGUUAUAUGCAGGCUCUGGAGAAAAACAAUCCCAAAUAUUAUGGAGACUUCCUCAAGAAGUACGAUCCCGAUGGCAAAUACAUGGACAAAUUCCUAAAAGCUAUUGCAGAUUUCUGAGGCGCUGCUAAUGUACAACCAUUGAAAUAAAACUUAUAAUUACCAAUAAAACUUCUAUUUAACCACA
This is a long non-coding RNA of Leptidea sinapis, 1127 nucleotides long. RefSeq lists it as uncharacterized. NCBI's taxonomy places the organism in Eukaryota, Metazoa, Arthropoda, Insecta, Lepidoptera, Pieridae. The transcript has 2 exons. The record is from RefSeq and is a predicted model, not a curated record.